AAGACCCGACCCAAACAGAAAAAGGGGAUCUCAAAAGUUUCCAAAAUGUCUCUGUAAGUUUGGAUUUGAGUAGAGUAUCAAAUACUCUUUCUAUUCCAUUUGUCCGCAACAAUGGUGAUGGUGUGUUGCCAUAUUCGAAGCUCCAUUUCCUCCUUCCGUUGUGGUGAAUUGGAGCAAAUAUCUUUCUAUCAACUUCACCUCUGUUAGGUGGUAUUGAGUAUCUCUCAUGACCAGACUACAUUUUUUUUCACCCAGAUCCCGAGCUCUCUCUUUGUAAGAUAAGUAUUUUUCCGUGAACAACGUGGUCUCACAUAGUCGGCCCCAGUUUGAUUGGAUCAUGUAUAUUUAUAGUUGAACCUGAAAUUGAAAGGUGGCAAGGCUGUUGAUAGCACAGGUGUCGACUGCGAUAUCGCAGAGGCAGAAGUCAGCACUAAGGGAAGCAUACAAGAACAAGAAGUACCUGCCUCUCGACCUUCUUCCCAAGAAGACUAGAGCCAUCCGUAGACGUCUUACAAAGCAUCAAGCAAUUGAAUCCUGACCCUGAUUCUUAUGGAUACGUUGAUAAUCUUUUAAUAAUUGAAAGAACUGCAUAAUGAUCUGCUUUCUUUGGUAAUAGUUUGUUAGUUUUGUACUUGGUUCUUCAAAUGUGAUGCAUCAAUUAAUUUUAUUAUAAUUAUUGACAUUAUAAUUUUUUUUCAGUGUGUUAUAGUUAUAUGCCACUAAUUUUCCUUAAAAGACAUAGUUUAGUAUUAGAAGGAAUUCAACCUGGAUAGAGCAAAACGGAUAUAAAUGAUUCAAAUAGCAGAACCCAACUGGAUUGGAAAUGAAGUAUAGUUGAUCAAAAUGAUUUUGCAUAACAUCUUCUUAUCUGUGUUAUUUAUUAUCAUGCUUGAAAGUAAAAAGUUGUGUACAUUUAUCACUAUGGCGCAUCUAAAUCUUUAUUGGCACUGUAUUGCUUCCUUCUUUUGAAGAAGGAAAAGAUUGUAUUUACCAUCAAUGGUAUGCCAUGUGCCAAUUUACUUUUGAAAAAGAAUUUCAUGUCGUAUUGGGUUGUGCAAAAUGCUCAACCCAACUCUCAUAUUUGCAUAAAUGCCUUCACAAGUUUAAGUAUGUUGACAUUUACAUGUCAUUUAUACCUUUUUCAUUAGAGUACUCAGCAGUUUGCUUAUUAAAGGAGGACAUAAGAAGUUAAGAGGAAAUCCAAGGAGAGGAAAGAAAUAGAAAAAUAGUAUAAAAGAGAAGAAAUAUAAACUGUUCAUUUUUAUUCUAUUUAGAUCUGAAUUAUGAUGUAAAAGUAAUGAAUAUUAGUUGAUGUCCAUUCUCCAGUGGUUAUUCUGUUGUACUAAUAAUUUGGAAGUAUAAAUGUUUCAAUCACUCUCACCCUAACAACCACCAAUGACAUGCAGGUGUGAAUAAACAUUUAGACGUCAGUGUACCUUAUGGGUUUGGAGUAAUAUAAGGUCAUUUAUUAAUUUUCCCUGCUUCUGUUGCUUGAAUCUGUACAAUUUGGAACAUUGGGGUAUUAGCUCUAGUAUUCUUGUAACUGUCUUUUUAUAAUUACAUUGUAUGCAGUGCAUUGUUACAAAAAAAGGUUAUAUAUUGUAUACAGUUUGUCAGACAACAUCUCUUGAUUUCUUGGCAAAAUACCAGUUUGAUUUCAAUCUGUGCGUAUGUGAAGGUAAAUCCUUAACACCUUGGUUCUUCUCUUGGACAACUUAAUGACAUUGUAUCAUGUUGCAAUUGGCUAUUUUUAUUAGCUGCUAGUUGGGUAUAAUUCUGAAAGUUAAGGGUUUUAUUGAUUACUUGGGUAAUAUGGUGGAAUGGUGUUUUGAAUUUGAAAUGAGUUUGUUCUGGACUUCUGGUUUUAGCUGAAAGUGUUCCGUCUGACAUUAACAUGAAUAUUGAUAUAUGAUUGCACUUCAGGAACAAAAUAGCAAAAUUUGGGGGAACAAAUAUGCAGAAAAGUAGUUGGCCAGUCAUAAAUUUCUAAAGCAAAAAUGUUGCAGGAGUUUAAAAGGAUUAGUAUCAACAACCUUCUGCGCAAGAAUCAAUUCGUAAAGAUCUUCAUGGAAAUGAAUUGAAGUUUCUCGAUAAAAUUUGUGGUUAUUUUCUGUUUAAAUUAUUGAUACAAUAAUAUUACAGUAAAAUACAAUCACACACUACUAAAUAUUGAAGAAUAUACCUGUGUGGAGGCACCGCUUUACAAGCUAAAACAAACUAGUGUACAUCUAUGUUUAUAUUUAGUUAUGAAAAUAAUUUCCAUGCGAUGAUUUGAAAGUUCAUUUCUCGUCAUGUUCCAAAUAAUUUUUCUUGCCAGGUUCUCAUGUUUAUUUAGUUUUUUUGUAGGUGACAGAAUCUAUAGAUUUUACUGAGUUAACAAACAAAGAACCAUGGCUCUAAUCAACAAAGCUGGCUGUAAAACCAGAAAUGUUGUUUGGGAAGCGUGGAAAGAGUGGCUAGGUAGCUUUGAAUCUGGAUCUAGCGGAGUUUUAUGGUUUGUUAAAAUACAACUUGGUGUGGAUGUGAGCAGAGGGUUAAAUGUUUUGAAAUCUUUUACUGCUUCUAAUUUGUUAUAGUCAUCUUACAUGUGAAUCUAUUUCUAGCUUGAAAUGGGUGGAUGCAAGGCACCUAUAACAAUAUUUAUUGUUGAACCAUUUGUUCCCCAUGACCAAGAAUAUUACCUUUCCAUAGUCUCUGAAAGGUUGGGGUGCACAAUUAACUUUUCAGAAUGCGGAGGCAUUGAGAUUGAAGAGAGCUGGGACAAGAUCUACAAUGACAAGAUUGAAGCGAAGAUUUGUGUUAUUGGUGAAUUAUGUGACAGAGCAAAUAUGUAUUAGCACGGGACAAAAGGCAUGUAUUUGUCUCUGGAUCACAGGAAGUGCUGGUACUUCUUAUAGGCAGCUCAACGUCUUAGUGAUGAGUGGAAUAAAUUCAAGUUUCUUUCAAUGGCCAGUCAACCUCAAUUAUAAGUUUUAGCUGCUAGCAAGAACAAAGUCUUACACUAAAAGGGUUCCCUUAUUUAUUUUCUUUAAGAGAUGAAGAGCUGUCUGGGAACUCCAUUUGAAGGCAUUUCAGGGGAUAUUCGAGGACGAAUAUCUUGCUACAAGCAGGAUUGGAUUGCUGGAAUUAGAUCCGGCAUAGGGAUACUAGCUCCAACUACGUACAUAUUUUUCGCGUCUGCUCUUCCGGUGAUUGCUUUUGGAGAACAAUUGAGCAGCGAAACAGAUGGGAGCCUCAGUACUGUGGAAACUUUAGCUUCUACAGCAAUUUGUGGCAUCAUUCACUCGAUAUUCGGGGGGCAACCUCUUAUGAUACUGGGAGUUGCAGAGCCUACUAUUAUUAUGUACAGUUACUUGUACAAGUUUGCUAAAGGGAGAGAAGAUUUGGGACAGACCCUUUACUUGGCUUGGGCCGGAUGGGUUUGUGUCUGGACAGCUCUCAUGUUGUUUCUUCUAGCAAUAUUCAAUGCCUGCUCUAUCAUAAGUAAAUUUACAAGGGUUGCUGGGGAAACUUUUGGCAUGCUUAUCGCUGUGCUUUUCAUUCAAGAGGCAAUUAAGGGAUUAGUGAGCGAGUUUAGCAUUCCUAAAGCCGAGGACCCAAGUUUGGAGAAAUAUCAAUUCCAUUGGCUUUACACGAACGGGCUACUUGGAAUCAUAUUCACCUUUGGCCUUCUCUACACUGCCUUAAAGAGCAGGAAAGCCAGGUCAUGGUGGUAUGGCACAGGCUGGAUUAGAAGCUUCAUUGCUGACUAUGGAGUUCCUUUAAUGGUUCUAGUGUGGUCAGUUCUCUCAUUUACCGUGCCAAGCAAAGUUCCAUCUGGAGUUCCUAGAACUCUCUAUAGUCCCCUUCCUUGGGAAUCUGCAUCAUUAUAUCACUGGACUGUAAUUCAGGAUAUGGGGAAGGUUCCUCCGGCAUACAUAUUUGCUGCAUUAUUACCAGCUGUGAUGAUCGCCGGACUCUAUUUCUUCGAUCACGGUGUUGCAUCGCAAAUGGCACAGCAAAAGGAAUUCAACCUAAAGAAUCCUUCUGCAUAUCAUUAUGAUAUCUUACUCUUGGGAUUUACGACUUUGCUAUGUGGUUUGAUUGGAUUGCCUCCUUCAAAUGGUGUCCUGCCACAGUCCCCUAUGCAUACUAAAAGCUUGGCUAUUCUUAAGAAACAGCUGAUUCGGAAGAAGAUGGUUGAAAGUGCAAAAGAGAGUAUCAGGCGAAAAGCUAGCAACUCUGAAAUUUAUGGCAAUAUGCAAGCAGUAUUCAUAGAGAUAGAUAGUUCUCCUAUUAGUACUGUAGCUAAAGAGUUGGAACACUUGAAAGAGGCAAUAAUGAAACGUGAAAAUGAAAAUGCAAAUGGCGAAAAUUCUAAUGGUAUAUUUGAUCCUGAGAAGUAUAUUGAUACUUACUUGCCUGUUCGAGUAAAUGAACAAAGAGUCAGCAAUCUACUGCAGUCACUACUAGUAGCUGCAUUGGUAGGUGCUAUGCCAGUGAUAAAGAAGAUACCAACCUCAGUUCUUUGGGGAUAUUUUGCCUAUAUGGCUAUUGACAGCCUUCCAGGAAAUCAACUGUGGGAAAGAAUGCUGCUUCUAUUAAUCUCCCCUGGCAGAAGAUUUAAGGUCCUUGAAGGGGUUCAUGCAUCUUUCGUGGAAUCAGUACCAUUUCGAUGCAUUGCAAUCUUCACAAUAUUCCAAUUUGUGUACUUACUUGUUGUCUUUGGAGUUACUUGGAUUCCUAUAGCUGGCAUUCUUUUUCCCUUACCAUUUUUUCUCCUCAUAAGCAUAAGGCAACAUUUGCUUCCCAUGUUUUUUCACCCUCGUCAUUUGCAAGAGCUUGAUGCAGCCGAGUAUGAGGAAAUCGCUGGUGCUCCACAAUGCGCACUUAGCUUUUCUUUCAGGGAAACCGAGGCAACUCUUCCUAGAAUUGAAGGCGAAAUAGAAAUUUGUGAUGCUGAGAUUUUGGAUGAACUUACAACUAGCAGAGGAGAGUUCAAAAUCCGUACUGUCAGCUUUAGCGAGGAUAAGCGACCACAGGUUAUUCAUCCAACUGCAGACCCAGAAUCUGAGUGAAGGAGGGACAAGGUGACAUAUAGAGAUGAAACAAAGUGUUUUGAGUCUUUAUAAACUAUGAGCAAUGGAGUCGAGAUACAAAAAUAUAGUGUAUUGAAUCUUGAGUUGGUACCACAGACUGAUCGAACGCCUCUUAAGUCAAAAAUUCCGGGCUAAAAUGGAUGCAUGCACAAAACGAAGAAAAAGAAAUCCUUUGAUGGAUGUUACUGCGAUAAUAUUUUUGAAACAUCAUUGUCCAGAUUUUAAAGGUUGCAUAGCAUUUUAUGCCUCACAUCAUGUAUUUCAAUAAUUAGUCAUAUCUUAAUGAGGAAGCAUCUUAUUCUGCACAUA
This is an RNA transcript of Capsicum annuum, 5387 nucleotides long. It is a transcript of the gene named boron transporter 4, with no coding region annotated. The transcript is spliced from 22 exons. The record is from RefSeq and is a predicted model, not a curated record. NCBI's taxonomy places the organism in Eukaryota, Viridiplantae, Streptophyta, Magnoliopsida, Solanales, Solanaceae.